Molecule: ribosomal RNA, 866 nt
Filed under: uncultured Acidobacteriaceae bacterium
Lineage: Bacteria; Pseudomonadati; Acidobacteriota; Terriglobia; Terriglobales; Acidobacteriaceae
Description: bacterial SSU rRNA
Rfam family: Bacterial small subunit ribosomal RNA
Source: RNAcentral
GGCCUAACACAUGCAAGUCGAACGCGAAAGUGGAGCAAUCCAUGAGUAGAGUGGCAAACGGGUGAGUAACACGUGGGUGACCUGCCUUCGAGUGGGGGAUAACGUCCCGAAAGGGACGCUAAUACCGCAUGACAUCCUGCUCUUGGAAGAGCGGAGAUCAAAGCCGGGGAUCGCAAGACCUGGCGCUUGAAGAGGGGCCCGCGCCUGAUUAGCUAGUUGGUAGGGUAACGGCCUACCAAGGCAACGAUCAGUAUCCGGCCUGAGAGGGCGGACGGACACACUGGGACUGAGACACGGCCCAGACUCCUACGGGAGGCAGCAGUGGGGAAUUGUUCGCAAUGGGCGCAAGCCUGACGACGCAACGCCGCGUGGAGGACGAAGAUCUUCGGGUCGUAAACUCCUGUCGAGUGGGAAGAAUGGAUCGGGGAUGAAUAAUCUCCGGUAUUGACGGUACCACUAAAGGAAGCCCCGGCUAACUCCGUGCCAGCAGCCGCGGUAAUACGGGGGGGGCAAGCGUUGUUCGGAAUUACUGGGCGUAAAGGGCUCGUAGGCGGCCAACUAAGUCGGACGUGAAAUCCCCAGGCUCAACCUGGGAACUGCGUCCGAUACUGGAUGGCUUGAAUUCGGGAGAGGGAUGCAGAAUUCCAGGUGUAGCGGUGAAAUGCGUAGAUAUCUGGAGGAAUACCGGUGGCGAAGGCGGCAUCCUGGACCGACAUUGACGCUGAGGAGCGAAAGCUAGGGGAGCAAACGGGAUUAGAUACCCCGGUAGUCCUAGCCCUAAACGAUGAAUGCUUGGUGUGGCGGGUAUCGAUCCCUGCCGUGCCGAAGCUAACGCAUUAAGCAUUCCGCCUGGGGAGUACGGUCGC